RNAcentral lists this ribosomal RNA (138 nucleotides) under uncultured bacterium. RNAcentral describes it as "partial 16S ribosomal RNA". It matches the Rfam family "Bacterial small subunit ribosomal RNA", at positions 355 to 509 of the family's 1533-position model. The record is from RNAcentral.
UGGGGAAUAUUGCACAAUGGGGGAAACCCGUGAUGCAGCGACGCCGCGUGAAGGAAGAAGUAUCUCGGUAUGUAAACUUCUAUCAGCAGGGAAGAAAAUGACGGUACCUGACUAAGAAGCCCCGGCUAACUACGUGCC